CUACGGGAGGCAGCAGUGGGGAAUUUUGGACAAUGGGCGCAAGCCUGAUCCAGCCAUUCCGCGUGAGUGAAGAAGGCCUUCGGGUUGUAAAGCUCUUUCGCAAGGGAAGAAAACUUAUCCUCUAACAUAGGGUGAGGUUGACGGUACCUUGAUAAGAAGCACCGGCUAACUACGUGCCAGCAGCCGCGGUAAUACGUAGGGUGCGAGCGUUAAUCGGAAUUACUGGGCGUAAAGCGUGCGCAGGCUGUUUUGUAAGUCAGAUGUGAAAUCCCCGAGCUCAACUUGGGAACUGCGUUUGAAACUACAAGACUAGAAUAUGCCAGAGGGGGGUAGAAUUCCACGUGUAGCAGUGAAAUGCGUAGAGAUGUGGAGGAAUACCAAUGGCGAAGGCAGCCCCCUGGGAUAAUAUUGACGCUCAUGCACGAAAGCGUGGGGAGCAAACAGGAUUAGAUACCCGCGUAGUC
Molecule: ribosomal RNA, 464 nt
Filed under: uncultured bacterium
Lineage: Bacteria
Description: partial 16S ribosomal RNA
Rfam family: Bacterial small subunit ribosomal RNA
Source: RNAcentral